This 497-nucleotide ribosomal RNA is filed under the name uncultured bacterium. RNAcentral describes it as "partial 16S ribosomal RNA". It matches the Rfam family "Bacterial small subunit ribosomal RNA", at positions 28 to 507 of the family's 1533-position model. The record is from RNAcentral.
GAUGAACGCUGGCGGCGUGCCUAAUACAUGCAAGUCGAGCGAACAGACGAGGAGCUUGCUCCUCUGACGUUAGCGGCGGACGGGUGAGUAACACGUGGAUAACCUACCUAUAAGACUGGGAUAACUUCGGGAAACCGGAGCUAAUACCGGAUAAUAUAUUGAACCGCAUGGUUCAAUAGUGAAAGACGGUUUUGCUGUCACUUAUAGAUGGAUCCGCGCCGCAUUAGCUAGUUGGUAAGGUAACGGCUUACCAAGGCAACGAUGCGUAGCCGACCUGAGAGGGUGAUCGGCCACACUGGAACUGAGACACGGUCCAGACUCCUACGGGAGGUAGCAGUAGGGAAUCUUCCGCAAUGGGCGAAAGCUUGACGAAGCAACGCCGCGUGAGUGAUGAAGGUCUUCGGAUCGUAAAACUCUGUUAUUAGGGAAGAACAAAUGUGUAAGUAACUAUGCACGUCUUGACGGUACCUAAUCAGAAAGCCACGGCUAACUACGUG